RNAcentral lists this ribosomal RNA (924 nucleotides) under uncultured prokaryote. RNAcentral's name for it is "SSU rRNA". It matches the Rfam family "Eukaryotic small subunit ribosomal RNA", at positions 811 to 1756 of the family's 1831-position model. The record is from RNAcentral.
GGAAUAAUAACAUAUGACUUUGGUUCUUAUUUGUUGGUGAUUAGGGACCGAAGUAAUGAUUGCCAGGGACGGUUGGGGCCAUUCGUACUGCAAAGCGAGAGGUGAAAUUCUUGGACCUUUGUAUGACGAACUACUGCGAAAGCAUUUGGCUAGGACGUUCCCGUUGAUCAAGAACGAAAGUUGGGGGAUCGAAGACGAUCAGAUACCGUCGUAGUCUCAACCAUAAACUAUGCCAGCUAGGGAUGGGUGAAUGUUUUUCUAACGACUUCAUCCGCACCUUAAGAGAAAUCAAAGCAUUUGGGUUCCGGGGGGAGUAUGGUCGCAAGGCUGAAACUUAAAGGAAUUGACGGGAGGGCACCACCAGGAGUGGAGCCUGUGGCUUAAUUUGAUUCAACACGGGAAAACUUACCAGGUCCGGACAUGGGAAGGAUUGACAGAUUGAAAGCUCUUUCUUGAUUCUAUGGGUGGUGGUGCAUGGCCGUUCUUAGUUGGUGGAGUGAUUUGUCUGGUUGAUUCCGUUAACGAACGAGACCUCAGCCUGCUAAAUAGUUGCAGUCUUCUCGAAGGCUUUGCUAACUUCUUAGAGGGACUACUUGCGAAACAACCGAGCGGAAGCUUGAGGCAAUAACAGGUCUGUGAUGCCCUUAGAUGUUCUGGGCCGCACACGGGCUACACUGGUGUUUUCAACAAGCCUUACUACCUUAACCGAAAGGUUUGGGUAAUCUUUGAAAUAACACCGUGCUUGGGAUAGACUAUUGCAAUUUUUAGUCUUCAACGAGGAAUUCCUAGUAAACGCAAGUCAUCAGCUUGCAUUGAUUACGUCCCUGCCCUUUGUACACACCGCCCGUCGCUCCUACCGAUUGGAUGAUUCGGUAAGCUCUUGGGAUUGAUUGAUUCGCAACCACUGGUUCGUCUUAUGACUAA